Molecule: ribosomal RNA, 480 nt
Filed under: uncultured bacterium
Lineage: Bacteria
Description: SSU rRNA
Rfam family: Bacterial small subunit ribosomal RNA
Source: RNAcentral
AGGAUGAACGCUGGCGCGGUGCCUAACGACGAUGCAAGUCGAACGUCCUGUCUCGCAAGAGGCAGGGAGUGGCGGACGGGUGAGUACCACGUGGGUUAUCUACCGUGAGGUGAGGAAUACCGGCGAGAAAUCGCCGACAAGACCGCAUAGCCUCGGUGCAAGCCGAGGAAAGCUUUCUCGAGAGAGGGAGCGCCACACGAGGAGCCUGCGCCCGAUUAGCUAGCUGGUGGAGUAACGGUUCACCAGGGCGACGAUCGGUAGCUGGUCUGAGAGGACGAUCAGCCACACUGGGAUUGAGAACGGCCCAGACUCCUACGGGGGGCAGCAGUGAGGAAUUUCGUCAAUGGGGGCAACCCUGAACGAGCAACGCCGCGUGCAGGAAGAAGGUUUUCGGAUCGUAAACUGCUUUUCGUCGGGGAAGAGAACGGACGGUACCCGAGGAAUCAGCCCCGGCUAACUACGUGCCAGCAGCCGCGGUAA